Molecule: long non-coding RNA, 317 nt
Organism: Schistocerca gregaria
Lineage: Eukaryota; Metazoa; Arthropoda; Insecta; Orthoptera; Acrididae
Exons: 3
Source: RefSeq, a predicted model, not a curated record
AUUGCUUUCUCUGCGUUUUGAGCCAUGAGUUUUGAAAAACCGCUAGUCGACCAGUUGAAGGAGGCGUUUUACAACUUCGACGAGGACCAAGAUGGGUUCAUAUCUUGCGAAGACACCAAGAUCUUUUUGAUGAAGACGGGCGCCAAGAUGACUCGAGAAGAGGCGGAGGAAUUUUGCAACGAAUGCGACUUUGAUCACGACGGGUUCAUUGACUGUGCUCAGGUGUCGCAGUAUCUGGCGCAGGGGGGGAAUUAAAGACUGAAGUCGCCGCGUGAGGAGGCGAGUUGAUGAGUUGCGAUAUGAAAAGGGAGAGCUUC